UCCUCGUUUAAGCGAGGCAGUUUGUCCAGAGUGCUCCGAACUCUCGUUCGGGUGGCAACAGGACACAAGGGUUGCGCUCGUUGCGGGACUUAACCCAACAUCUCACGACACGAGCUGACGACAGCCAUGCAGCACCUGUGUAGGCUCCCCUUGCGAGGUCGUCGGACUUUCAUCUUUCUACCACCUACAUGUCAAGGCCAGGUAAGGUUCUUCGCGUUGCAUCGAAUUAAGCCACAUACUCCACCGCUUGUGCGGGCCCCGUCAAUUUCUUUGAGUUUUAAUCUUGCGACCGUACUCCCCAGGCGGCACGUUUAACGCGUUAGCUCCGGCGCAGAAGGGGUCGAAUCCUCCCACACCAAACGUGCACCGUUUACUGCCAGGACUAC
This 386-nucleotide unclassified non-coding RNA is filed under the name uncultured Verrucomicrobiae bacterium. RNAcentral describes it as "contains 16S-23S intergenic spacer region". Lineage: Bacteria; Pseudomonadati; Verrucomicrobiota; Verrucomicrobiia. The record is from RNAcentral.